CGGGCUCAAACGACACAGGAAUACUUUUGAAAGGAGGUAGCCCUACGGGGCCUGUGUCGAGGUGCUGCAUGGUUGUCGUCAGCUCGUGCCGUGAGGUGUCGGCUUAAGUGCCAUAACGAGCGCAACCCCUACCGACAGUUGCUAACUGGUCAAGCAGAGGACUCUGUCGGGACUGCCGGCGCAAGCUGUGAGGAAGGCGGGGAUGACGUCAAAUCAGCACGGCCCUUACGUCCGGGGCGACACACGUGUUACAAUGGCAGGUACAGCGGGAAGCCAUGUGGCGACACAGAGCAGAACCCGAAAACCUGUCUCAGUUCGGAUCGGAGUCUGCAACUCGACUCCGUGAAGCUGGAUUCGCUAGUAAUCGCGCAUCAGCCACGGCGCGGUGAAUACGUUCCCGGGCC
RNAcentral lists this ribosomal RNA (404 nucleotides) under uncultured bacterium. RNAcentral's name for it is "bacterial SSU rRNA". It matches the Rfam family "Bacterial small subunit ribosomal RNA", at positions 976 to 1380 of the family's 1533-position model. The record is from RNAcentral.